UACGAAGGGGGCUAGCGUUGUUCGGAUUUACUGGGCGUAAAGCGCGUGUAGGCGGGGCGUUAAGUUGGGGGUGAAAUCCCGAGGCUCAACCUCGGAACUGCCUUCAAAACUGGCGACCUGGACUCAAGUAGAGGCAAGUGGAAUUGCGAGUGUAGAGGUGAAAUUCGUAGAUAUUCGCAGGAACGCCAGUGGCGAAGGCGACUUGCUGGACUUGUAGUGACGCUGAGACGCGAAAGCGUGGGGAGCAAACAGG
RNAcentral lists this ribosomal RNA (253 nucleotides) under uncultured bacterium. RNAcentral's name for it is "partial 16S ribosomal RNA". It matches the Rfam family "Bacterial small subunit ribosomal RNA", at positions 524 to 776 of the family's 1533-position model. The record is from RNAcentral.